GAUGAAGAACGUAGCGAAAUGCGAUAAGUAGUGUGAAUUGCAGAAUUCAGUGAAUCAUCGAAUCUUUGAACGCACAUUGCGCCCCUUGGUAUUCCAUGGGGCAUGCCUGUUCGAGCGUCAUUUGUACCUUCAAGCUUUGCUUGGUGUUGGGUGUUUGUCCCUCGGGACUCGCCUUAAAGUCAUUGGCAGCCAGUGUUUUGGUUUUGAAGCGCAGCACAAGUCGCGAUUCAAGGCUAUCCCCGCUUCCACAAGCCUUUUUCACUUUUGACCUCGGAUCAGGUAGGGAUACCCGCUGAACUUAAGCAUAUCAAUAAGCGGAGGA
Molecule: unclassified non-coding RNA, 322 nt
Filed under: soil metagenome
Description: partial contains 5.8S ribosomal RNA, internal transcribed spacer 2, and large subunit ribosomal RNA
Rfam family: 5.8S ribosomal RNA (bases 1-120)
Source: RNAcentral